RNAcentral lists this ribosomal RNA (206 nucleotides) under uncultured bacterium. RNAcentral's name for it is "partial 16S ribosomal RNA". It matches the Rfam family "Bacterial small subunit ribosomal RNA", at positions 327 to 524 of the family's 1533-position model. The record is from RNAcentral.
CGGCCCAGACUCCUACGGGAGGCAGCAGUAGGGAAUCUUCGGCAAUGGGGGCAACCCUGACCGAGCAACGCCGCGUGAGUGAAGAAGGUUUUCGGAUCGUAAAGCUCUGUUGUAAGAGAAGAACGUGUGUGAGAGUGGAAAGUUCACACAGUGACGGUAUCUUACCAGAAAGGGACGGCUAACUACGUGCCAGCAGCCGCGGUAAU